RNAcentral lists this transfer RNA (86 nucleotides) under Felis catus (domestic cat). It matches the Rfam family "tRNA". From Rfam's summary of the family: Transfer RNA (tRNA) molecules are approximately 80 nucleotides in length. Their secondary structure includes four short double-helical elements and three loops (D, anti-codon, and T loops). Further hydrogen bonds mediate the characteristic L-shaped molecular structure. tRNAs have two regions of fundamental functional importance: the anti-codon, which is responsible for specific mRNA codon recognition, and the 3' end, to which the tRNAs corresponding amino acid is attached (by aminoacyl-tRNA synthetases). tRNAs cope with the degeneracy of the genetic code in two manners: having more than one tRNA (with a specific anti-codon) for a particular amino acid; and 'wobble' base-pairing, i.e. permitting non-standard base-pairing at the 3rd anti-codon position. The record is from Rfam by way of RNAcentral. Lineage: Eukaryota; Metazoa; Chordata; Mammalia; Carnivora; Felidae.
GCCUGGGUGGCUCAGAGGGUUGAGCAUCUGACUUCGGCUCAGGUCAUGAUCUCACGGUUACGUGGGUUCGAGCCCCGCCUCGGGAU